RNAcentral lists this long non-coding RNA (866 nucleotides) under Bubo bubo (Eurasian eagle-owl). RNAcentral describes it as "lncRNA (ENSBOBG00000005437.1)". Lineage: Eukaryota; Metazoa; Chordata; Aves; Strigiformes; Strigidae. The record is from RNAcentral.
CACAAUUAACAUCCAUCACCCGUAACGACUGGCAGCAUCUCUGCUUGGGGGCUUCAUUGAAGAUGGGGGUGCCGGGGUGGAAGGGGUAUAUGCAGAGCUGGCACCAUCCUUGUAGUGGCGGUAAGCAUCAAAUUCACCUUCUGGACUCAUUUUUGCCCAUUCUUGACCCACCCGUAGCGUAGGUGGGAGACAAGCGUCCCUGAGUUGGAGGAGCUGGAUGAGGUUGGAGAAGGUUUCAGGGCCUCUCCUGCUCUCUCAUCUCACUGCAGUGCCUCAGCGCCCACGACACGACCCGCAGCGUCCUCUCCUCCCCACCCAAAUCCCUCGGCCAGCUCUUCCUUCUCCUCCAGUACCAAGCUCUGGCCAGUCGCAUCAAGGUGCUGGUCCGCAAGGCAGAGCAGCUGGGCCGGCUCUCGCGCAUGCCAGGCACGCCAGGCCACUACGUCAUCAUCCACCUUUACCACAAUGGCCACAUCAUCGACACCAAGGAGACCAAGUGCAUCACCGGCUACAACCCCGUCUGGAACACGCCCUUCCUCUUCAACCUCCCCGCUGGGGACAUCCAGCAGCAGGAGUUGUCCUUGGAGUUCACCGUCAUGCAGGCUCACAUCUACACCCGCAGCUCCCCGCUGGGCCGCGUGCGGGUGGGUCCCCGCGCCCCUGGGGCCGGGCUGCUGCACUGGAGGGAGAUGUGCAGCCGGGGACAGCCGGAGUCGGCGCGGUGGCACCGGGUCCAGCCCGAUGCCCCCAGACCCUGAUCCUGUCUGCAGCCCACGGGUGGAACUCACAGGAGCGAGACAAGGGGCAUCUCCAAGCCUGGGAGAGGUGAAGUCUCAGCCUGCAUAGUGUCACGGGGGAAGUCUGGG